RNAcentral lists this long non-coding RNA (603 nucleotides) under Fukomys damarensis (Damara mole-rat). RNAcentral describes it as "lncRNA (ENSFDAG00000030342.1)". Lineage: Eukaryota; Metazoa; Chordata; Mammalia; Rodentia; Bathyergidae. The record is from RNAcentral.
CUGCCUCAGCCUCCCAGAGUGCUGGGAUUACAGGUGUGUGUCAUCAUUUACAGAAAACAGAAUGAGUUCCAGGUUUUGCUCUUUUAAAAUGAGUGGCCCAUAGUUACAUAUGGCUACAUUUAGCUGUUUUGUUGUUAGUUGGCACAGCUGCCUCCCAAAAUGGAGGCUUUAAUACUUGAAGAUUCCAUUAGGUGGCGGUCAGGAUCCGGGCAUCUUUUGAUUUUCAGCGCCCCACCCCCACACACACCGGCGUUGGUGGGGGGCGUUGCCAAGCAUCUUGCGGGUAGAAAGGAUAGGAAAAGCAAACAUAAAAGCUGUGUAUGGAUAUAUGAGUCACUAACCAAAAAGCUAAGAAUCCGGGUGAAGAACUGCAGAACUCUGGUUUACGACCAAAGGAAGAUGUGCCAGCAUUCAACACACUCAACUGUAGUUCCAGUGUGGAUUCUGCCUCUCACUUCCAUGAGACCUUCAGCAGAGAGAUCUUCACUUCAUUGGGCCUCUAUGUAUUUGUGUUUCCUUGCAGUCCUAAGACUGCGAUUCUUAAUUUUACAGGAAGUCGAGAAAGUUGAUACAGUCUUCCCUGAUGAGUGCAGUCCGCAGUGA